ACGAACGCUGGCGGCAGGCUUAACACAUGCAAGUCGAACGGUUGUAGCAAUACAGCAGUGGCAGACGGGUGAGUAACACGUGGGAACCUUCCUAGGGGUACGGAACAACUCAGGGAAACUUGAGCUAAUACCGUAUACGUCCGUGAGGAGAAAGAUUUAUCGCCCUUAGACGGGCCCGCGUAGGAUUAGGUAGUUGGUGGGGUAAUGGCCUACCAAGCCUACGAUCCUUAGCUGAUCUGAGAGGAUGAUCAGCCACACUGGGACUGAGACACGGCCCAGACUCCUACGGGAGGCAGCAGUGGGGAAUCUUGGACAAUGGGCGCAAGCCUGAUCCAGCCAUGCCGCGUGAGUGAAGAAGGCCUUCGGGUUGUAAAGCUCUUUUACCAGGGACGAUAAUGACGGUACCUGGAGAAUAAGCCCCGGCAAACUUCGU
RNAcentral lists this ribosomal RNA (433 nucleotides) under uncultured bacterium. RNAcentral describes it as "bacterial SSU rRNA". It matches the Rfam family "Bacterial small subunit ribosomal RNA", at positions 29 to 506 of the family's 1533-position model. The record is from RNAcentral.